This 253-nucleotide ribosomal RNA is filed under the name uncultured bacterium. Its description in RNAcentral is "partial 16S ribosomal RNA". It matches the Rfam family "Bacterial small subunit ribosomal RNA", at positions 524 to 776 of the family's 1533-position model. The record is from RNAcentral.
UACGUAGGGUGCAAGCGUUAUCCGGAUUCACUGGGCUUAAAGGGUGCGUAGGCGGGCAGGUAAGUCCGUGGUGAAAUCUCUGAGCUUAACUCAGAAACUGCCAUGGAUACUAUUUGUCUUGAAUACUGUAGAGGUAAGCGGAAUAUGUCAUGUAGCGGUGAAAUGCUUAGAUAUGACAAGGAACACCAGUUGCGAAGGCAGCUUACUGGACAGUUAUUGACGCUGAGGCGCGAAAGCGUGGGGAUCAAACAGG